Molecule: ribosomal RNA, 450 nt
Filed under: uncultured bacterium
Lineage: Bacteria
Description: partial 16S ribosomal RNA
Rfam family: Bacterial small subunit ribosomal RNA
Source: RNAcentral
AGCGAACAUUGGCGGUAGGCUUAACACAUGCAAGUCGAGCGAGGCGUAAUAGUCGAGCGGCGAACGGGUGAGUAAUACAUGGGAAUCUACCUCGAAGUGGGGGAUAACGUUCAGAAAUGGACGCUAAUACCGCAUAAUCCGGGAACGGGAAAGCGCGCUGCGCUUUGAGAUGAGCCCAUGGCUGAUUAGCUAGUUGGUGGGGUAAAGGCCUACCAAGGCGACGAUCAGUAGCUGGUCUGAGAGGAUGAUCAGCCACACUGGAACUGAGACACGGUCCAGACUCCUACGGGAGGCAGCAGUGGGGAAUCUUGCGCAAUGGGGGCAACCCUGACGCAGCCAUACCGCGUGUGCGAUGACGGUCUUCGGAUUGUAAAGCACUCUUAGUGGGGACGAUGAUGACGGUACCCACAGAAAAAGUCACGGCUAACUUCGUGCCAGCCGCCGCGGUAA